AUUGAACGCUGGCGGCAUGCCUUACACAUGCAAGUCGAACGGCAGCAUGAUCCAGCUUGCUAGAUUGAUGGCGAGUGGCGAACGGGUGAGUAAUACAUCGGAACGUGCCCUGUAGUGGGGGAUAACUAGUCGAAAGAUUAGCUAAUACCGCAUACGACCUGAGGGUGAAAGUGGGGGACCGCAAGGCCUCAUGCUAUAGGAGCGGCCGAUGUCUGAUUAGCUAGUUGGUGAGGUAAAGGCUCACCAAGGCGACGAUCAGUAGCUGGUCUGAGAGGACGAUCAGCCACACUGGGACUGAGACACGGCCCAGACUCCUACGGGAGGCAGCAGUGGGGAAUUUUGGACAAUGGGCGAAAGCCUGAUCCAGCAAUGCCGCGUGUGUGAAGAAGGCCUUCGGGUUGUAAAGCACUUUUGUCCGGAAAGAAAUGGCUCUGGUUAAUACCUGGGGUCGAUGACGGUACCGGAAGAAUAAGGACCGGCUAACUACGUG
RNAcentral lists this ribosomal RNA (490 nucleotides) under uncultured bacterium. RNAcentral describes it as "partial 16S ribosomal RNA". It matches the Rfam family "Bacterial small subunit ribosomal RNA", at positions 30 to 507 of the family's 1533-position model. The record is from RNAcentral.